UACGGAGGGGGCUAGCGUUGUUCGGAAUUACUGGGCGUAAAGCGUGCGUAGGCGGCUUUGUAAGUUAGAGGUGAAAGCCCGGAGCUCAACUCCGGAAUUGCCUUUAAGACUGCAUCGCUAGAAUCAUGGAGAGGUGAGUGGAAUUCCGAGUGUAGAGGUGAAAUUCGUAGAUAUUCGGAAGAACACCAGUGGCGAAGGCGACUCACUGGACAUGUAUUGACGCUGAGGUGCGAAAGCGUGGGGAGCAAACAGG
Molecule: ribosomal RNA, 253 nt
Filed under: uncultured bacterium
Lineage: Bacteria
Description: partial 16S ribosomal RNA
Rfam family: Bacterial small subunit ribosomal RNA
Source: RNAcentral